Molecule: long non-coding RNA, 359 nt
Organism: Bos taurus (domestic cattle)
Lineage: Eukaryota; Metazoa; Chordata; Mammalia; Artiodactyla; Bovidae
Source: Ensembl
CAGGUGCAGCAUUUUUUAAAAGCAAAAUUUCUAAAAGAUCGGGGCCUACCGUAAUUCUUCAUAUUACAUUUGUUGAACAAGUUCCAUCCCAGUCGAGUGGAUUAUCUUGCCCCAUGCUUGGGGUGUAUGCACUCAACUUUGGAGAUGACUCUAAGUGGUGAAAUGCUGGGAGGUCAUAGCAUGUUGCUCCAGUAGCAAAGGCAGCGAUGGAACAGACCGCCAAUGGGAGCUCCUUGAGGAAGGACCUGGUUUUCCUUAUUCAACUUUCUGUGCUCAAUUCUAAUUAAAUGAAUUAUGGAGACUUCAUAAGCUUAAAGAAUAAACCAAAUGAACAAUGAUGAUACUCAUAAAGCAGAUUU